Non-coding RNA from Heterocephalus glaber (naked mole-rat), 1630 nucleotides. NCBI's taxonomy places the organism in Eukaryota, Metazoa, Chordata, Mammalia, Rodentia, Bathyergidae. The record is from RefSeq and is a predicted model, not a curated record.
AUGGGCCAUUUGAAGGCUUCACCAGCACUGACUUCAGAAAAAAUGAAAGGGAGCCUAGUGUGUCCCCUUCAUCAUCAUUGCCCUCCCCAGCAAUAGUGCCUACCUAGCUCAAGUCUGCCCAGCAGGAUUCACCUAUCCAUUCUCCCCACUGAGCUGCAGAUCUGGCCCACGAAGAGCUCUGUUCCUAGGAUCAUUUUCAUGAUGGGCAUUUUAUAUUAUUCCCUCUGGCUAUGGACAUUUUCUCAUGGCAGAUGAAUCGAGCCUUCAUAAAGUGCACUCUAUCUGUGGAGACAAGAAAGCUGGAAUUGACAUGAUAUUCUCUAAGUCAGAGUGGAUAUGAAUUUGAAAAGAGGAAAAUACUUUCCAGACUUCGGAAUCUCCGCUGGCAUGGACUUGUCAGAAGAUCUGGAUGAUGUAAUGCUGAUGAAGUAUCACCUGCUCUCUCAACUUCAGGACCAACUUCCAUGGGGCAGUGGAAUAUAACUGAGACAGGGAGCUCUGCUUUUUACAACAGGCCUCCUCAGAAAGAAGGGGAAAACAUUACUGAGACACCUGGCUGCACAAGCUCCAGGAACUCAAGAUGUUCCUCUUGUGGAUGUGUUGCCUUUCAAAAGUCUGACUUUAAGUCUGCUCACUUACUCCCCAAGGGCAAAAGAUGUUAUGGAGCCCUCUUUCUUCUCAUUGCCUAGAAUGACAGAUUCUGAAGCAAGCUCCCUAGAGCUCAUUAGCUGUAUAAUUAACCACCUAGCAUUUUCAACUCAAAAUCUUCCAGCAAUGCACAAUGAAAUCAGCAUAUAAAACAGCCCAUCAAGGACAGGCAGCCCUAUUAGCCUGGGAAACAACCUGGCAGGUGUGCCUCUGAGAGGUUGGGAGCACUGAGCUUCCCUUCCCCUGGCCUCUCAACAGCCCUUCAUCUCAGACUGCCGGGGAGCUGCAGCCCUGGGGAAAAUCCAGCCCAGGUUUUGCGCCAUUUCUCCUGCAAGCUUGGAUGGGUAGCUUGGAAAAUCUGUUUUGCUCCAGGUAGAAAACCAGUCAUGAUGAAUUAAUCUAAUGCACUUACUUGUUUUUUAAUUUAAAAGUGUAUCUUGAGGUGUAUUCCCUAGCUGAAAGCUCUGCAGCAGGCAAACACACAGGACUCCAAAAUGCAGAGGGAGAGGCUUUUUCCUGCCCCUUGACUCUCUGACCCAGAAAAUCAAUCUAGUGAUAUUGUUGCAAUGUAUUCUAAGAAACAUAAGCUAAUCAACUGAGAAAUCACUCCUUGGUGGUUCAUAAUCAUUAAAAGGACCUUAUAAGCAGUAAGUGACCCACAUGCCCCAUAACUAAGGUUUGCAUGGAGAUGGGGCAAUUUUCUGUCCUUUUAGAAGCCUUGGUGUUAUUCCCAUUAAAAGGAGAAAGCAAUAAAUGGUUCUUCCCUGUGGUUUAUCUCCUCCUUCUAUUUUUCUUGCAUGGUCUUCAAAGCAGAGGGAUGCCUAGGUACUGACCUGGUGAAUAUAUAUCGUAAUAAUGGAUCAUGAUUAUGAAAUACAGUGAUACUUGGCUUCAUGAACUUUAUUUGUUCCACGAUUUUUGAAAAAGAUGGCCAAAUUGUGUUUGUGCAGGAAAGAUGGCUGUCGUCAUGUUUGUCAUGCAA